Molecule: ribosomal RNA, 1441 nt
Filed under: uncultured Ralstonia sp.
Lineage: Bacteria; Pseudomonadati; Pseudomonadota; Betaproteobacteria; Burkholderiales; Burkholderiaceae
Description: bacterial SSU rRNA
Rfam family: Bacterial small subunit ribosomal RNA
Source: RNAcentral
UUUGAUCAUGGCUCAGAUUGAACGCUGGCGGCAUGCCUUACACAUGCAGGUCGAACGGCAGCAUGAUCUAGCUUGCUAGAUUGAUGGCGAGUGGCGAACGGGUGAGUAAUACAUCGGAACGUGCCCUGUAGUGGGGGAUAACUAGUCGAAAGAUUAGCUAAUACCGCAUACGACCUGAGGGUGAAAGUGGGGGACCGCAAGGCCUCAUGCUAUAGGAGCGGCCGAUGUCUGAUUAGCUAGUUGGUGAGGUAAAGGCUCACCAAGGCGACGAUCAGUAGCUGGUCUGAGAGGACGAUCAGCCACACUGGGACUGAGACACGGCCCAGACUCCUACGGGAGGCAGCAGUGGGGAAUUUUGGACAAUGGGGGCAACCCUGAUCCAGCAAUGCCGCGUGUGUGAAGAAGGCCUUCGGGUUGUAAAGCACUUUUGUCCGGAAAGAAAUCGCACUUACUAAUAUUAGGUGUGGAUGACGGUACCGGAAGAAUAAGGACCGGCUAACUACGUGCCAGCAGCCGCGGUAAUACGUAGGGUCCAAGCGUUAAUCGGAAUUACUGGGCGUAAAGCGUGCGCAGGCGGUUGUGCAAGACCGAUGUGAAAUCGCCGGGCUUAACCUGGGAAUUGCAUUGGUGACUGCACGGCUAGAGUGUGUCAGAGGGGGGUAGAAUUCCACGUGUAGCAGUGAAAUGCGUAGAGAUGUGGAGGAAUACCGAUGGCGAANGCAGCCCCNUAGGAUAACACUGACGCUCAUGCACGAAAGCGUGGGGAGCAAACAGGAUUAGAUACCCUGGUAGUCCACGCCCUAAACGAUGUCAACUAGUCGUUGGGGAUUCAUUUCCUUAGUAACGUAGCUAACGCGUGAAGUUGACCGCCUGGGGAGUACGGUCGCAAGAUUAAAACUCAAAGGAAUUGACGGGGACCCGCACAAGCGGUGGAUGAUGUGGAUUAAUUCGAUGCAACGCGAAAAACCUUACCUACCCUUGACAUGCCACUAACGAAGCAGAGAUGCAUUAGGUGCUCGAAAGAGAAAGUGGACACAGGUGCUGCAUGGCUGUCGUCAGCUCGUGUCGUGAGAUGUUGGGUUAAGUCCCGCAACGAGCGCAACCCUUGUCUCUAGUUGCUACGAAAGGGCACUCUAGAGAGACUGCCGGUGACAAACCGGAGGAAGGUGGGGAUGACGUCAAGUCCUCAUGGCCCUUAUGGGUAGGGCUUCACACGUCAUACAAUGGUGCAUACAGAGGGUUGCCAAGCCGCGAGGUGGAGCUAAUCCCAGAAAAUGCAUCGUAGUCCGGAUCGUAGUCUGCAACUCGACUACGUGAAGCUGGAAUCGCUAGUAAUCGCGGAUCAGUAUGCCGCGGUGAAUACGUUCCCGGGUCUUGUACACACCGCCCGUCACACCAUGGGAGUGGGUUUUGCCAGAAGUAGUUAGCCUAACCGCAAGGG